Molecule: unclassified non-coding RNA, 273 nt
Filed under: uncultured fungus
Lineage: Eukaryota; Fungi
Description: partial contains small subunit ribosomal RNA, internal transcribed spacer 1, and 5.8S ribosomal RNA
Rfam family: Eukaryotic small subunit ribosomal RNA (bases 1-73)
Source: RNAcentral
UCAAACUUGGUCAUUUAGAGGAAGUAAAAGUCGUAACAAGGUCUCCGUUGGUGAACCAGCGGAGGGAUCAUUACCGAGUUCUCGCAACUCCCAAACCCCCUGUGAACAUACCUACGUUGCCUCGGCGCGGUGGGCGGCGCUCGUCGUCCCCCCCGCGCCGGCGGCCCAUCAAACUCUUGUCCUCUUGCCCGAUCUCUGAACUAUACAAAACAGAAUACGUUAAAAACUUUCAACAACGGAUCUCUUGGUUCUGGCAUCGAUGAAGAACGCAGC